This 433-nucleotide ribosomal RNA is filed under the name uncultured bacterium. RNAcentral describes it as "bacterial SSU rRNA". It matches the Rfam family "Bacterial small subunit ribosomal RNA", at positions 8 to 445 of the family's 1533-position model. The record is from RNAcentral.
AGAGUUUGAUCCUGGCUCAGAUUGAACGCUGGCGGCAUGCCUUACACAUGCAAGUCGAACGGCAGCGGACCUUCGGGUGCCGGCGAGUGGCGAACGGGUGAGUAAAGCGUCGGAACGUACCCGGAAGUGGGGGAUAACUAUCCGAAAGGAUAGCUAAUACCGCAUAUUCUGUGCGCAGGAAAGCAGGGGACCGCAAGGCCUUGUGCUUCCGGAGCGGCCGAUGUCAGAUUAGCUAGUUGGUGAGGUAAAGGCUCACCAAGGCGACGAUCUGUAGCGGGUCUGAGAGGAUGAUCCGCCACACUGGAACUGAGACACGGUCCAGACUCCUACGGGAGGCAGCAGUGGGGAAUUUUGGACAAUGGGGGCAACCCUGAUCCAGCCAUGCCGCGUGAGUGAAGAAGGCCUUCGGGUUGUAAAGCUCUUUCAGACGGAA